Molecule: ribosomal RNA, 380 nt
Filed under: uncultured bacterium
Lineage: Bacteria
Description: bacterial SSU rRNA
Rfam family: Bacterial small subunit ribosomal RNA
Source: RNAcentral
GACGAACGCUGGCGGCGCGCUUAACACAUGCAAGUCGAGCGAGAACCUGGGCUUCGGCCCAGGGGACAGCGGCGAACGGGUGAGUAACACGUGGGUAAUCUGCCCUUGACAUCGGGAUAGCCCGGGGAAACCCGGAUUAAUACCGAAUAGCCUCCGGAGCCUUCGGGCGCCGGAGAAAAGUAGCUUCGGCCUCUGGUCAAGGAUGAGCCCGCGGCGGAUUAGCUUGUUGGCGGGGUAACGGCCCACCAAGGCGACGAUCCGUAGCUGGUCUGAGAGGACGAUCAGCCACACUGGGACUGAGACACGGCCCAGACUCCUACGGGAGGGCAGCAGUGGGGAAUCUUGCGCAAAUGCGGGAAACCGUGACGCAGCGACGCCGC